Cucurbita pepo subsp. pepo (vegetable marrow) is the source of this 1940-nucleotide non-coding RNA. The record is from RefSeq and is a predicted model, not a curated record. NCBI's taxonomy places the organism in Eukaryota, Viridiplantae, Streptophyta, Magnoliopsida, Cucurbitales, Cucurbitaceae.
UCACCAUCAACAAUGGACUGGAGUGGAGCUAGCUAGAGCUACCUGCUCGAACUCUCGAUCCUCGGAAAAAGCUCAAACUGCGUUCUCAUGUCAAACGUCGUCGUCUUGGACAACGGCGGCGGUCUCAUAAAAGCCGGCUUCGGCGGCGACCUCGAUCCCUCCGUCAUAAUCCCUAACUGCCUCUACCGUCCUCUCUCCGCCAAGAAAUGGCUCCACCCUUCUCCAAUCUCCAUUUCCACCACCACCACCACCGCCGCCGCUGAAGCCUCCUCCGAUCUCGACCUCACAUCGGCCUCCGUCCGCCGCCCCAUAGACCGAGGUUAUCUCAUAAACCCCGACCUGCAGCGUGACAUUUGGUCUCACCUCUUCACCUCUCUUCUUCACGUUAGUCCCUCUAAUUCCUCCCUCCUCUUGACGGAACCUCUCUUCACUCUCCCUUCCAUUCAACGCGCCACCGACGAGCUCAUUUUCGAGGAUUUCAAUUUUGGUUCUCUCUAUGUUUCAGAUUCUCCUUCUUUAGUUCACUUCUAUGAGGCCAGCCGCCGCCCGACGAGCCUCCUAUCUAGGGCACAGUGUAGCCUUGUUGUUGACUGUGGGUUUUCUUUCACUCAUGCGGCUCCAGUGUUCCAGAACUUCACUUUGAACUACGCUGUUAAACGCAUCGACCUGGGAGGGAAGGCAUUGACGAACUAUUUGAAGGAGUUGGUUUCAUAUCGCGCUUUGAAUGUUAUGGAUGAAACCUUCAUCAUAGACGACGUCAAAGAGAAGCUCUGCUUUGUCUCCCUUAACGUCCCCCGCGACCUCCAGAUAGCGAGGAAACCAGGAAAGGAAAAUCUCUUCCGAUGCACAUAUGUGCUCCCUGAUGGGAUUUCGUAUACAAGGGGUUUUGUUAAAAAUCCAGAUGAAGCUAAGAGGUACCUCUCCUUGACUGAUGAAGCCUCAUCUCCAUCACUUGGAGUCAAGAAUGAUGAGACUGAGCUAGAUGUCUCAGAAAAGACUGAAAACAGGAAGAAAAUUGAUCUAACAAAAAAUGAAUUUGAUUUGACGAACGAACGCUUCCUUGUUCCAGAAAUGAUAUUCCAUCCUAUAGAUUUGGGAAUGAACCAGGCCGGCCUAGCGGAGUGCAUUGUUAGAGCUGUUAAUUCUUGCCAUCCUCAUCUGCACCCCGUGCUCUACGAGAGUAUUGUUUUGACUGGUGGAAGCACUUUAUUUCACAAUUUUGCUGAGAGAUUAGAGAAGGAGCUCCGGCCUAUUGUCCCAGAUGAGUGUAAAGUGAAGAUAACAACCCAAGAAGAUCCCAUUUUAGGGGUGUGGAGAGGGGGAUCACUACUGGCAUCAAGUCCUAGUUUUGAAGCAAUGUGUGUUACCAAGGCCGAAUACGAGGAACUCGGAUCUGCCCGGUGUCGGAAGAGAUUUUUACAUUGAGUGCAAGCAUGAAGAGCUUCAUCAAGGUUCCAGCAAGCUUCAGUGGCGGCAUUCAGGCAGAUAAGAAGUAAAACGAAUGAGCAGGCGUUUGUGGGUCAAUUCUAGGCCAUAGCAGGGACCAACGUUCUGAUGAAAAUUAAGUUUUUGUAAGAGGAGGUUGAUGAAAAAUCUUCAUUGGACUGCCUGCAGAGGAUUUACUGGAAUACAGUAAGGAUUUCUGCAUUGGAUUCGUAUUACUUUUUAGUACUGUUCACCUCAAAGUGUUAAUAAAUAUUUGAACUUUUAAUCUUAAGAGACAAAAUAUACGUCAAUGUCUAUGUCAACUACCGUUGAGUUAUACUCCUUAGCUUCUAAAUUUGAUUCUCCUUAGCUUUUAAAUUUGAUUCUCUGACUGAUUAGAGCCGAGCCAAGCUUGCUUUUAACAUGUGUGCUUGAUUCUUGCUUGGGCUUUGGCUUUGGCAUUGUAUUCCAACAUUUGAAUAGAAAAAGUUGUCAGUCAAAAAGUUAUUUACUCU